GGGGGGGGGCAAGCGUUGUUCGGAAUUACUGGGCGUAAAGGGCGCGCAGGCGGCUUCGGGAAGUCAUGGGGUGAAAUCCCCCAGCUUAACUGGGGAACUGCCUGUGAAACCACGGAGCUGGAGUGCUGGAGAGGAAAGCGGAAUUCCUAGUGUAGCGGUGAAAUGCGUAGAUAUUAGGAGGAACAUCCGAGGCGAAGGCGGCUUUCUGGACAGACACUGACGCUGAGGCGCGAAAGCCAGGGGAGCAAACGGGAUUAGAUACCCCGGUAGUCCUGGCUGUAAACGAUGAGCACUUGGUGUGGGGGGUGCAUUCAGUCCCUCCGUGCCGGAGAAAACUCGUUAAGUGCUCCGCCUGGGGAGUACGGCCGCAAAGGCUG
Molecule: ribosomal RNA, 377 nt
Filed under: uncultured organism
Description: partial 16S ribosomal RNA
Rfam family: Bacterial small subunit ribosomal RNA
Source: RNAcentral